GGACUACCCGGGUUUCUAAUCCUGUUUGCUCCCCACGCUUUCGUGUCUCAGCGUCAGUAUCUGUCCAGUUGGCCGCCUUCGCCGCCGGUGUUCCUCUCGAUAUCUACGAAUUUCACCUCUACACCGAGAAUUCCACCAACCUCUCCAGUACUCGAGCUUCGCAGUAUCGAGUGCACUUCCCGGGUUGAGCCCGGGGCUUUCACAUCCGACUUACGAAGCCGCCUACACACGCUUUACGCCCAGUAAUUCCGAACAACGUUUGCACCCUCUGUCUUACCGCGGCUGCUGGCAC
RNAcentral lists this ribosomal RNA (292 nucleotides) under uncultured bacterium. RNAcentral's name for it is "partial 16S ribosomal RNA". The record is from RNAcentral.